CCAACGAUAGCUCAGUUGGUAGAGCGGAGGACUGUAGAUUAUAUGUAGUAAUCCUUAGGUCGGCAGUUCGAAUCCGCCUCGUCGGG
This 86-nucleotide transfer RNA is filed under the name Fasciola gigantica. It matches the Rfam family "tRNA". Rfam says of the family: Transfer RNA (tRNA) molecules are approximately 80 nucleotides in length. Their secondary structure includes four short double-helical elements and three loops (D, anti-codon, and T loops). Further hydrogen bonds mediate the characteristic L-shaped molecular structure. tRNAs have two regions of fundamental functional importance: the anti-codon, which is responsible for specific mRNA codon recognition, and the 3' end, to which the tRNAs corresponding amino acid is attached (by aminoacyl-tRNA synthetases). tRNAs cope with the degeneracy of the genetic code in two manners: having more than one tRNA (with a specific anti-codon) for a particular amino acid; and 'wobble' base-pairing, i.e. permitting non-standard base-pairing at the 3rd anti-codon position. The record is from Rfam by way of RNAcentral. Lineage: Eukaryota; Metazoa; Platyhelminthes; Trematoda; Plagiorchiida; Fasciolidae.